Molecule: long non-coding RNA, 88 nt
Organism: Nematolebias whitei (Rio pearlfish)
Lineage: Eukaryota; Metazoa; Chordata; Actinopteri; Cyprinodontiformes; Rivulidae
Exons: 3
Source: RefSeq, a predicted model, not a curated record
AGAGGAGCGACGACACGUUUAUGAGCCAGUUGGACUGAGUGACAAGUGUCUGCAUGAUGAGCCGUCCACAGAGAGAAGGUGAAGCAGC